This 250-nucleotide ribosomal RNA is filed under the name uncultured prokaryote. RNAcentral's name for it is "partial 16S ribosomal RNA". It matches the Rfam family "Bacterial small subunit ribosomal RNA", at positions 524 to 773 of the family's 1533-position model. The record is from RNAcentral.
UACGUAUGGAGCAAGCGUUAUCCGGAUUUACUGGGUGUAAAGGGAGCGUAGACGGUAUGCCAAGUCUGAUGUGAGAGGUGUGGGCUCAACCCGCAAACUGCAUUGGAAACUGGUAGACUAGAGUGUCGGAGAGGUAAGUGGAGUUCCUAGUGUAGCGGUGAAAUGCGUAGAUAUUAGGAGGAACACCAGCGGCGAAGGCGGCCUACUGGACGAUAACUGUCGUUGAGGCUCGAAAGCGUGGGGAGCAAAC